UCGAAACUAAGAGCAGGAUAGACAUUGC
RNAcentral lists this non-coding RNA (28 nucleotides) under Rattus norvegicus (Norway rat). The record is from RNAcentral. Lineage: Eukaryota; Metazoa; Chordata; Mammalia; Rodentia; Muridae.